UGACAAUUGAUUCUGGAGAGACUAGUGC
RNAcentral lists this non-coding RNA (28 nucleotides) under Bombyx mori (domestic silkworm). Lineage: Eukaryota; Metazoa; Arthropoda; Insecta; Lepidoptera; Bombycidae. The record is from RNAcentral.